This 683-nucleotide ribosomal RNA is filed under the name Streptococcus uberis. Its description in RNAcentral is "bacterial SSU rRNA". It matches the Rfam family "Bacterial small subunit ribosomal RNA", at positions 31 to 697 of the family's 1533-position model. Lineage: Bacteria; Bacillati; Bacillota; Bacilli; Lactobacillales; Streptococcaceae. The record is from RNAcentral.
GAACGCUGGCGGCGUGCCUAAUACAUGCAAGUAGAACGCUGAGGACUGGUGCUUGCACUGGUCUAAGGAGUUGCGAACGGGUGAGUAACGCGUAGGUAACCUACCUCAUAGCGGGGGAUAACUAUUGGAAACGAUAGCUAAUACCGCAUGACAAUAGGGUACACAUGUACCCUAUUUAAAAGGGGCAAAUGCUUCACUAUGAGAUGGACCUACGUUGUAUUAGCUAGUUGGUAAGGUAACGGCUUACCAAGGCGACGAUACAUAGCCGACCUGAGAGGGUGAUCGGCCACACUGGGACUGAGACACGGCCCAGACUCCUACGGGAGGCAGCAGUAGGGAAUCUUCGGCAAUGGGGGGAACCCUGACCGAGCAACGCCGCGUGAGUGAAGAAGGUUUUCGGAUCGUAAAGCUCUGUUGUUAGAGAAGAACGGUAAUGGGAGUGGAAAAUCCAUUACGUGACGGUAACUAACCAGAAAGGGACGGCUAACUACGUGCCAGCAGCCGCGGUAAUACGUAGGUCCCGAGCGUUGUCCGGAUUUAUUGGGCGUAAAGCGAGCGCAGGCGGUUUGAUAAGUCUGAAGUUAAAGGCUGUGGCUUAACCAUAGUACGCUUUGGAAACUGUCAAACUUGAGUGCAGAAGGGGAGAGUGGAAUUCCAUGUGUAGCGGUGAAAUGCGUAGAUAU